This is a small nuclear RNA of Ochotona princeps (American pika), 90 nucleotides long. The record is from Ensembl. NCBI's taxonomy places the organism in Eukaryota, Metazoa, Chordata, Mammalia, Lagomorpha, Ochotonidae.
GUGUUCACUUUGACAGCACAUACACUAAAACUGGAACAACACCGAGAGGAUUAGCAGGGCCCCUGUGCAAGGAUGACACGCAAAAAGUAG